CCCCUCUUUCGGCUCUGCGUGUCCCUCUGCGUGCCCCAGUCUGUGUUCCGGAACUUUGACGUCGAUGGGGAUGGCCACAUCUCACAGGAAGAAUUCCAGAUCAUCCGUGGGAACUUCCCUUACCUCAGCGCCUUUGGGGACCUCGACCAGAACCAGGAUGGCUGCAUCAGCAGGGAGGAGAUGGUCUCCUAUUUCCUGCGCUCCAGCUCCGUGUUGGGGGGCCGCAUGGGCUUCGUACACAACUUCCAGGAGAGCAACUCCUUGCGCCCUGUCGCCUGCCGCCACUGCAAAGCCCUGAUCCUGGGCAUCUACAAGCAGGGCCUCAAAUGCCGAGCCUGUGGUGUGAACUGCCACAAGCAGUGCAAGGAUCGCCUGUCAGUCGAGUGUCGGCGCAGGGCCCAGAGUGUGAGCCUGGAGGGGUCUGCACCCUCACCCUCACCCACCCACAGCCACCAUCACCGCGCCUUCAGCUUCUCUCUGCCCCGCCCUGGCAGGCGAGGCUCCAGGCCUCCAGAGAUCCGUGAGGAGGAGGUACAGACGGUGGAGGAUGGGGUGUUUGACAUCCACUUGUAAUAGAUGGUGAGUCCUCCCACAGCUGGCACCAGAGCUCCCCACUGAGGGCUGGGGUGGGGGUGGGGAGUAUCAGGGAAAUGGGUGCUUUAUCCAAAUGGCUCCAAGCCAGGUGGGCUACCACCUUGUUGUUGGGGGGGUGUCUUCCUCACAACCUGUUUUUCUCUUCCUAGCUGUGGUUGGAUCAAGGACUCAUUCCUGCCUUGGAGAAAAUACUUCAACCAGAGCAGGGAGCCUGGGGGUGUUGGGACAGGAGGCUGGGGCUGGGGGUGGGAUAUGAGGGUGGCAUGCAGCUGAGGGCAGGGCCAGGGCUGGUGUCCCUAAGGUUGUACAGACUCUUGUGAAUAUUUGUAUUUCC
Molecule: small RNA, 928 nt
Filed under: Pongo abelii (Sumatran orangutan)
Lineage: Eukaryota; Metazoa; Chordata; Mammalia; Primates; Hominidae
Description: retained intron
Source: RNAcentral